AUUGAACGCUGGCGGCAGGCUUAACACAUGCAAGUCGAGCGAGCGGCGGACGGGUGAGUAAUGUAUGGGCAACUGCCUGAUGGAGGGGGAUAACUACUGGAAACGGUAGCUAAUACCGCAUACCCUCAGAUGUGCCCCGAUGGGAUUAGCUAGUAGGUGGGGUAAUGGCUCACCUAGGCGCAGAUCCCUAGCUGGUCUGAGAGGAUGACCAGCCCAACUGGAACUGAGACACGGUCCAGACUCCUACGGGAGGCAGCAGUGGGGAAUAUUGCACAAUGGGCGCAAGCCUGAGGCAGCCAUGCCGCGUGUGUGAAGAAGGCCUUCGGGUUGUAAAGUACUUUCAGCGAGGAGGCGUUACUCGCAGAAGAAGCACCGGCUAACUCCGUGCCAGCCGCCGCGGUAAUUC
This 406-nucleotide ribosomal RNA is filed under the name uncultured bacterium. Its description in RNAcentral is "partial 16S ribosomal RNA". It matches the Rfam family "Bacterial small subunit ribosomal RNA", at positions 30 to 526 of the family's 1533-position model. The record is from RNAcentral.